Suricata suricatta (meerkat) is the source of this 3995-nucleotide RNA transcript. It is a transcript of the gene named glycogen phosphorylase L, with no coding region annotated. Lineage: Eukaryota; Metazoa; Chordata; Mammalia; Carnivora; Herpestidae. The transcript has 23 exons. The record is from RefSeq and is a predicted model, not a curated record.
CUCCGCUCCGCGGCCGGCCGGCCGGAGCCCGGGCGGCGCCGCGCCCAGGGGCGGACCCCAAACUUUCCUCCGACUCAAAAGCGGCGGCGCGCGACGCGGAGCCCGCUCCGUCCCUGUCCUGCCUCCGACGCCGGGGCCGCUAGUCCCGCUAGCUGCGCUGCCCCCGCCGCCGCCGCCAUGGCCAAGCCCCUGACGGACCAAGAGAAGCGGCGGCAGAUCAGCAUCCGCGGCAUCGUGGGCGUGGAGAACGUGGCCGAGCUGAAGAAGGGCUUCAACCGGCACCUGCACUUCACGCUGGUCAAGGACCGCAACGUGGCCACCCCCCGCGACUACUUCUUCGCGCUGGCGCACACGGUGCGCGACCACCUGGUGGGGCGCUGGAUCCGCACGCAGCAGUACUACUACGAGAAGUGCCCCAAGAGGGUUUAUUACCUCUCUUUGGAAUUUUACAUGGGCCGAACAUUACAGAACACCAUGAUCAACCUUGGUCUGCAAAACGCCUGUGACGAGGCCAUUUACCAGCUUGGAUUGGAUAUGGAAGAGCUGGAAGAAAUUGAAGAAGAUGCUGGGCUUGGCAAUGGUGGUCUUGGGAGGCUUGCUGCCUGCUUCUUGGAUUCCAUGGCAACCUUGGGACUUGCAGCCUAUGGAUAUGGCAUUCGAUAUGAAUAUGGAAUCUUUAAUCAGAAGAUCCGAGAUGGAUGGCAGGUAGAAGAGGCAGAUGAUUGGCUCAGGCAUGGAAACCCCUGGGAGAAAGCCCGUCCGGAAUUCAUGCUGCCUGUACACUUCUACGGCAAAGUAGAGCACACCAAGACGGGGGCCAAAUGGGUCGACACGCAGGUGGUCCUGGCCCUGCCAUAUGACACCCCGGUGCCCGGGUAUAUGAACAACACCGUCAACACCAUGCGCCUCUGGUCCGCUCGAGCCCCGAAUGACUUUAACCUCAGAGAUUUUAACGUUGGAGACUACAUUCAGGCUGUGCUGGACCGAAAUCUGGCCGAGAACAUCUCCCGGGUCCUCUAUCCCAAUGAUAAUUUUUUUGAAGGCAAGGAGCUAAGACUGAAGCAGGAGUACUUUGUGGUGGCUGCUACCUUGCAAGAUGUCAUCCGACGUUUCAAAGCCUCCAAGUUUGGCUCCACUGACAGUGCCAAGACCACAUUUGAUGCCUUUCCAGACCAGGUUGCCAUCCAGCUGAAUGACACGCACCCCGCACUCGCCAUCCCUGAGCUGAUGAGGAUUUUUGUGGAUAUUGAAAAAUUGCCCUGGUCCAAGGCCUGGGAGAUCACCCAGAAGACCUUCGCCUACACCAACCACACAGUGCUUCCAGAGGCCCUGGAGCGCUGGCCCGUGGAGCUGGUGGAAAACUUGCUUCCUCGACAUUUGCAAAUCAUUUAUGAGAUAAAUCAGAAGCAUUUAGAUAGAAUCGCGGCCUUGUUUCCUAAAGAUGUUGACCGUCUGAGAAGGAUGUCUCUGAUUGAAGAGGAAGGAGGCAAACGGAUCAACAUGGCCCACCUCUGCAUUGUGGGCUCCCACGCUGUGAACGGCGUGGCCAAAAUCCACUCAGACAUCGUGAAGACCCAAGUAUUCAAGGACUUCAGCGAGCUAGAACCAGACAAGUUUCAGAAUAAAACCAAUGGGAUCACUCCAAGGCGCUGGCUCUUACUCUGCAACCCCGGACUUGCAGAAUUAAUAGCAGAGAAAAUUGGGGAAGACUACGUGAAAGACUUGAGCCAGCUGACAAAGCUGCAUAGCUUCGUGGGUGAUGACGUCUUUCUCCGAGAACUCGCCAACGUGAAGCAGGAGAACAAGCUGAAGUUUUCUCAGUUCCUAGAGAAGGAGUACAAAGUGAAGAUCAACCCAUCCUCCAUGUUCGAUGUGCACGUGAAGAGGAUCCAUGAGUACAAGCGGCAGCUCUUGAACUGCCUGCAUGUGGUCACCAUGUACAACCGCAUUAAGAAAGACCCUAAGAAGUUAUUUGUGCCCAGAACCGUCAUAAUUGGUGGCAAAGCCGCCCCAGGAUAUCACAUGGCCAAAAUGAUCAUAAAGCUGAUUACUUCGGUGGCAGAUGUGGUGAACAAUGACCCUAUGGUUGGAAGCAAGUUGAAAGUCAUCUUCUUGGAGAACUACAGAGUAUCUCUUGCUGAGAAAGUCAUUCCAGCUACCGAUCUCUCGGAGCAGAUUUCCACCGCAGGCACUGAAGCCUCAGGGACAGGCAAUAUGAAAUUCAUGCUGAAUGGGGCCCUGACCAUCGGGACUAUGGAUGGAGCCAAUGUGGAAAUGGCAGAGGAAGCUGGGGAAGAGAACCUGUUCAUCUUUGGCAUGAGAGUAGAUGAUGUGGCUGCUUUGGACAAGAAAGGCUAUGAUGCAAAAGAAUAUUAUGAGGCACUUCCAGAGCUUAAGCUGGUGAUUGAUCAAAUCGACAAUGGCUUCUUUUCUCCCAAACAGCCUGACCUCUUCAAAGACUUAAUCAACAUGCUAUUUUAUCAUGACAGGUUUAAAGUCUUUGCAGACUAUGAGGCCUAUGUCAAGUGUCAAGAAAAAGUCAGCCAGCUGUACAUGAAUCCAAAGGCCUGGAACACAAUGGUACUCAAAAACAUAGCUGCCGCAGGGAAGUUCUCUAGUGACCGAACAAUUAAGGAAUACGCCAGGGACAUUUGGAACAUGGAGCCUUCAGAUAUCAAGAUUUCCUUAUCCAGUGAAUCUAGCAAUGGGGUGAACAAAGCCAAUGGAAAUUUCAGUUACCUGCAGUCAAGUAUGGUCCAGAAGGAGAUAAUCCUGCUUCUGUCAUAUUGUCAGAAGCAGUGCAUGAAAAACCAUCAGAUCCUCAGGAUUCUGGCUGGAUCUUAGGACGAAAUGAGCCAGUGAAAAAAAGAUCCCCACUUCUGAUGUGACAUCCCAGGAGCCUUCUGACCCCAGCACCAUCAAAGAAAGUCCUCUAAAAGGAAUUUCUCCCUCAAGUGUUAAUACCAAAAAUUCUGAGUGCUUAUAUGUUUGGAAGAGGCAUGAAGGGAAGAAGAUCAUACGGCGCCAAUGAAUUUCCAGCACUUCUGUAGGGAGUGGAAAAGAGACGUGGGCUAAGUGUAAUGGGUAGCCCUCCAAGUAGCAGGCAUAAGCAACUGCCUAAAAUCAGCAAGGAGAAAAUGAACAUGACUGUUUCAUAAUACUUUAAAAUAGCCUCUGCGAAGGAGGUAGGAAGGAGAGGACAUUAUUGUUCUGAUUUUAGAGAUAGGAAGCCAACACCCAGAGAAGCUGCUUUGACCCCCAGAUCAAGCCCAAAUAGGCAGAACGGAACACAGGCUGAAUUCUUGUGCUUCCUUCCAGUUGGCUGGCUCAGGCUUGCUUUCUCCUGACUCUGAACUCACACUACCCUCCCUGUUAGUUUCCCACUAAGUUAUCUUUUGAAAGUAGCAGGGUGCUUGGGAAGCAGAGGCAGUGGAGGGAAAUAUGUUUCUGUUUUUAAAGAAUAAUUCAUACAGGACCCUUCUCUCAAAUAGCUCAAGGCACUUCUGUGAGAAUCGCUGCGGGAAGAGAACAGAGUGACCGGAUCCCUCGGAGCAUCAAUAAUGCACAGCAACUUCUUUUAACUAGGGGUUGUCAAUUUGACUUCCCCGAGAUCAGUGGGGGAUCAAAAGUCACCAGUAGCUAGCAGACCUUAUUUGAGUGGAGGAUGCAGUUUCAGCCCAAUCCCCGCUAACGGCCAGCCACAUCAAACAGCCACCUUGAUGCUUUGGUGUUCUUUUGCCUGUCCUUUGAUCAGAUGUGGCUGUAACUGCACAGCUUCCCGCAGGGGCCACAGAACCUAAAGGGAUCAUUCUUACCUUGGAACCGGAGUUGCUGCAGGGCAAAUCAUUCAUGUCCACGCUCAGAGGCCUCCGCUUUGGGAAGCCCAGCUCUGACCCCAUUUGGCAAGACAGCUAUUCCAAACAGUAAGACACGCCAUACAUGCAUCCCAUGUACCCAUUCAUUCAGCCAACAUGGAUUGAUCACCAAGCACCUAA